Molecule: ribosomal RNA, 393 nt
Filed under: uncultured bacterium
Lineage: Bacteria
Description: partial 16S ribosomal RNA
Rfam family: Bacterial small subunit ribosomal RNA
Source: RNAcentral
AUACGGAGGAUCCGAGCGUUAUCCGGAUUUAUUGGGUUUAAAGGGUGCGCAGGCGGGAGAUUAAGUCGGCGGUGAAAUUUUGCAGCUCAACUGUAAAAGUGCCUUCGAAACUGGUUUUCUUGAGUGUAGAUGAAGUAGGCGGGAUUUGUGGUGUAGCGGGGGAAUGCAUAGAUAUCACGAGGAACUCCGAUUGCGCAGGCAGCUUACUAAACUACUACUGACGCUCAGGCACGAAGGCGUGGGGAUCAAACAGGAUUAGAUACCCUGGUAGUCCACGCAGUAAACGAUGAUUACUAGCUGUUUGCGAUACAAUGUAAGCGGCUGAGCGAAAGCGUUAAGUAAUCCACCUGGGGAGUACGUUCGCAAGAAUGAAACUCAAAUGAAUUGACGGGG